RNAcentral lists this ribosomal RNA (524 nucleotides) under uncultured bacterium. Its description in RNAcentral is "bacterial SSU rRNA". It matches the Rfam family "Bacterial small subunit ribosomal RNA", at positions 1 to 526 of the family's 1533-position model. The record is from RNAcentral.
UAGAGUUUGAUCCUGGCUCAGAUUGAACGCUGGCGGCAUGCUUUACACAUGCAAGUCGAACGGCAGCGCGGGGCAACCUGGCGGCGAGUGGCGAACGGGUGAGUAAUAUAUCGGAACGUACCCAGAAGUGGGGGAUAACGUAGCGAAAGUUACGCUAAUACCGCAUACGAUCUACGGAUGAAAGUGGGGGACCUUCGGGCCUCAUGCUUUUGGAGCGGCCGAUAUCUGAUUAGCUAGUUGGUGAGGUAAAGGCUCACCAAGGCGACGAUCAGUAGCUGGUCUGAGAGGACGACCAGCCACACUGGGACUGAGACACGGCCCAGACUCCUACGGGAGGCAGCAGUGGGGAAUUUUGGACAAUGGGCGCAAGCCUGAUCCAGCAAUGCCGCGUGAGUGAAGAAGGCCUUCGGGUUGUAAAGCUCUUUUGUCAGGGAAGAAACGGCUGAGGUUAAUACCUUUGGCUAAUGACGGUACCUGAAGAAUAAGCACCGGCUAACUACGUGCCAGCAGCCGCGGUAAUCGCC